Molecule: ribosomal RNA, 813 nt
Filed under: uncultured beta proteobacterium
Lineage: Bacteria; Pseudomonadati; Pseudomonadota; Betaproteobacteria
Description: bacterial SSU rRNA
Rfam family: Bacterial small subunit ribosomal RNA
Source: RNAcentral
AUGACGCUGGCGGCAUGCUUUCACACGCAGUUCAACGGCAGCACGGACUUCGGUCUGGUGGCGAGUGGCGAACGGGUGAGUAAUACAUCGGAACGUGCCCAGUCGUGGGGGAUAACGUAGCGAAAGCUACGCUAAUACCGCAUACGAUCUAAGGAUGAAAGCGGGGGAUCGCAAGACCUCGCGCGAUUGGAGCGGCCGAUGGCAGAUUAGGUAGUUGGUAGGGUAAAGGCCUACCAAGCCGACGAUCUGUAGCUGGUCUGAGAGGACGACCAGCCACACUGGGACUGAGACACGGCCCAGACUCCUACGGGAGGCAGCAGUGGGGAAUUUUGGACAAUGGGCGAAAGCCUGAUCCAGCCAUUCCGCGUGCAGGAUGAAGGCCCUCGGGUUGUAAACUGCUUUUGUACGGAACGAAAAGGUCCUGGUUAAUACCUGGGGCUCAUGACGGUACCGUAAGAAUAAGCACCGGCUAACUACGUGCCAGCAGCCGCGGUAAUACGUAGGGUGCAAGCGUUAAUCGGAAUUACUGGGCGUAAAGCGUGCGCAGGCGGAUGAUGUAAGACAGAGGUGAAAUCCCGGGCUCAACCUGGGAACUGCCUUUAGUGACUGCAUCAGCUGGAAGUAACGGCAAGGAGGGGGAUGGAACUUCCGCGGUGUAGCACACGUGAACAUUGCGUAGAAUAUUGCCGGAAGGAACACACCGAUGGCGAAAGGCAAUUCCCCUUGGGGCCUUGUUACUUGGACGACUCACAUGCACAGAAAAACACCGUUGGGGGAAGCAACACGGAUAAAUACCCCUGGGUUAUACCACAC